This 153-nucleotide unclassified non-coding RNA is filed under the name soil metagenome. Its description in RNAcentral is "partial internal transcribed spacer 1". The record is from RNAcentral.
CCGAGUUUACAACUCCCAAACCCCUGUGAACAUACCUAUUACGUUGCCUCGGCGGAUCAGCCCGCGCCCCGUAAAAACGGGACGGCCCGCCCAGAGGACCCCUAAACUCUGUUUCUAUAGUGGAACUUCUGAGUAAAACCAUAAAAUAAAUCA